This 753-nucleotide ribosomal RNA is filed under the name uncultured Staphylococcus sp. RNAcentral describes it as "bacterial SSU rRNA". It matches the Rfam family "Bacterial small subunit ribosomal RNA", at positions 64 to 797 of the family's 1533-position model. Lineage: Bacteria; Bacillati; Bacillota; Bacilli; Caryophanales; Staphylococcaceae. The record is from RNAcentral.
GAGCGAACGGACGAGAAGCUUGCUUCUCUGAUGUUAGCGGCGGACGGGUGAGUAACACGUGGAUAACCUACCUAUAAGACUGGGAUAACUUCGGGAAACCGGAGCUAAUACCGGAUAAUAUUUUGAACCGCAUGAUUCAAAAGUGAAAGACGGUCUUGCUGUCACUUAUAGAUGGAUCCGCGCUGCAUUAGCUAGUUGGUAAGGUAACGGCUUACCAAGGCAACGAUGCAUAGCCGACCUGAGAGGGUGAUCGGCCACACUGGAACUGAGACACGGUCCAGACUCCUACGGGAGGCAGCAGUAGGGAAUCUUCCGCAAUGGGCGAAAGCCUGACGGAGCAACGCCGCGUGAGUGAUGAAGGUCUUCGGAUCGUAAAACUCUGUUAUUAGGGAAGAACAUAUGUGUAAGUAACUGCGCACAUCUUGACGGUACCUAAUCAGAAAGCCACGGCUAACUACGUGCCAGCAGCCGCGGUAAUACGUAGGUGGCAAGCGUUAUCCGGAAUUAUUGGGCGUAAAGCGCGCGUAGGCGGUUUUUUAAGUCUGAUGUGAAAGCCCACGGCUCAACCGUGGAGGGUCAUUGGAAACUGGAAAACUUGAGUGCAGAAGAGGAAAGUGGAAUUCCAUGUGUAGCGGUGAAAUGCGCAGAGAUAUGGAGGAACACCAGUGGCGAAGGCGACUUUCUGGUCUGUAACUGACGCUGAUGUGCGAAAGCGUGGGGAUCAAACUAGGAUUAGAUACCUCUGGUAGUCCU